This 213-nucleotide non-coding RNA is filed under the name Enterococcus sp. Its description in RNAcentral is "T-box sequence". It matches the Rfam family "T-box leader". Rfam says of the family: Uncharged tRNA acts as the effector for transcription antitermination of genes in the T-box leader family. Lineage: Bacteria; Bacillati; Bacillota; Bacilli; Lactobacillales; Enterococcaceae. The record is from RNAcentral.
CUAAAUACGUUGACAAGAAGAGUAAAUUUAUUUUUUGAUUUAGAGAGCCUGUGGGUGGUGAAAACAGGAGAAGAGAUAAAUUGAAGUGCCUCUUAGAGUAGUUCUGGUGAAAUAAAAAGUAGCUAGAAACGAGUGAUAAUCGUUAUGUUAUCAAAAGGUAAGGAAGAUUUUUUCUUACGAAUAAAAGUGGAACCACGUGUAAACGUCUUUUAG